Tupaia belangeri chinensis (Chinese tree shrew) is the source of this 1010-nucleotide non-coding RNA. NCBI's taxonomy places the organism in Eukaryota, Metazoa, Chordata, Mammalia, Scandentia, Tupaiidae. The record is from the annotation of a RefSeq genome assembly.
CUUCUAUGAAAGACUUCAGUAGAGGAACAAAACUUGUUGUCACAGACAAAACCUUUUACACGGACAUCUCCCCCAAGCCCACGACGUUUCUUCCUUCAGUUGCUGAGACAAACCUCCAUGACGCUGGAACGUAUCUUUGUCUUCUUGAGAAAUUUUUCCCCGAUGUGAUUUAUGUACAGUGGAAAGAAAAGAAUGGCAGCAGAAUUCUAGAGUCCCAGCAGGGAAAAACUGUGAUGACUGAUAACACGUACAUGAAAUUGAGCUGGCUGACUGUGAGCGGAAGUUCCCUGAAUAAAGAACACCAGUGCAUCGUCAAACACGAGAACAAUAAAGGAGGUGUUGACCAAGAGAUUCUCUUUCCUCCAAUAAGGAAAGCUAUUCUGCCUGUUGACCCUAAGGAAGCUUCUUCAGCAGACCAAGCACAACUAAGGAGGCAACGUCUCUGGGAGGCACUGCGGCUGCAGCUCAUCAACGCCUCCGCAUACCACACGUACCUCCUCCUGCUCCUCAAGAGUGUGGUCUACUUUUCCAUCAUCACCUUCUGUCUGUUUAGAAGAGCAGCUGUCUGUGGCACUGGAAAUAGUGUGUCAUAGACAGAGGCAAAAGCAGGUCAUCUCUUCAUGGUCUAUUGUUCUUGAAAGUGUCCACUGAAGAUCUAGCUGGACUUUCUGCCUCCAUUGGGCUCUUCCAGUUUCCAUGUGCACUAUUCUCUCAUGUAGUUAUAGCAUAGUGGUCUUCCUAACAGGGGGCAAACUGAGGAGAUCUCUCUGUAACAAUAAGAAGGAGCGGCCCACGGCAGCCUGACACCACUCUCUGCGUCCCCUUCAUCAGCUCUGUUGGCCCAGCCACGUGGUCGCAGCCCUAGUUCAGACUGCACACUGCUGCUAGUCACGUCCCUCAGGGCCCUUUAACCAGGUAACUCCCAGGAAGCCUUCUGUUUAACAAAUACUGAAGCGCCAUCUUUGCUACUUAAAUGCCAAGCUUUGCUUUUUUUUAUUUUAAAAUUUUUU